RNAcentral lists this ribosomal RNA (301 nucleotides) under uncultured bacterium. Its description in RNAcentral is "partial 16S ribosomal RNA". It matches the Rfam family "Bacterial small subunit ribosomal RNA", at positions 512 to 808 of the family's 1533-position model. The record is from RNAcentral.
CAUAGCCGCGGUAAUACGUAGGGUGCAAGCGUUAAUCGGAAUUACUGGGCGUAAAGCGUGCGCAGGCGGUUAUAUAAGACAGAUGUGAAAUCCCCGGGCUCAACCUGGGAACUGCAUUUGUGACUGUAUAGCUAGAGUACGGCAGAGGGGGAUGGAAUUCCGCGUGUAGCAGUGAAAUGCGUAGAUAUGCGGAGGAACACCGAUGGCGAAGGCAAUCCCCUGGGCCUGUACUGACGCUCAUGCACGAAAGCGUGGGGAGCAAACAGGAUUAGAUACCCCAGUAGUCCCUGUCUCUUAUACA